This is a long non-coding RNA of Cryptotermes secundus, 903 nucleotides long. RefSeq lists it as uncharacterized. Lineage: Eukaryota; Metazoa; Arthropoda; Insecta; Blattodea; Kalotermitidae. The record is from RefSeq and is a predicted model, not a curated record. The transcript is spliced from 4 exons.
AUUCAAGAAGUUCAAGAGCCUCCAGGCGCCCUACAGACAGUUAAUGCAUGGAUCGCCCUCAGUCGUACAGCAUGCAGCCUGUCGCUAUACCGACUGAGCUAUCAAUCCAGUUUAAAAUGUACAAAUAUUACAUUAUCUUUGAUCAAAGCUCAAAAUUAAUUUUGUUUUUGUUCUUGUAGUUUAAUGGCGCUCUGCAUACGAGAGCUGUGUGAUGUUGAGUAUAAAUUAUUUUAUUUAUAAGUUGAAUAAUUUUGGUGUUUCUGCAAAAUUAUUAGGAGCUGCAUAAGAAAUUCCCGAGUUCCCGAGAGAUCGAUCAUCAUUCUUAUUGAUCUUAUUGAUAUCCAAAAUGGCAGUUCGUUCAGUGGUUAAGGUUGAUGACACUCAAGUUUUCAAUGAUAGUAAAACAAGUGAGGUAACGAGUGCUUGUUGUCAUAAAUUUAAAAUAGAACUAGGAUCAGCACGAAAAAUUAUUGAACUGCUAUAAGAAGAGAUAAACACGCCCAAUCGUAUCCAUCAGAAGAGAUACUGUCCAACAUCAAGAUUGAGCCCAGUGACAGCAAACUGGAGCUUCAGAUAGCCCUCAAGAAAGCACGGAGACUGAAGCUGCAGGAGGCUGUUACAGAAUCAAAGAACAGUGUAGAAAAGGUGGCAGAGUCAGUACUGGGGAGAAACACGGAAGGAAACACGGAAGGUGGUUCCAUUGUGCUGAAUGCUACAGCAGAAUUCUGCCGUACGUUGGAUGACAUCCCCAUUUAUGGUCUGGCUGGCAACAGGGAUGAGGAUGCUCAGGAACUACUUGACUUUGAGAGGGAAAUGACUGAAGAGAAGAAACAUCAGGAAGAAGAAGGCAAACGUGGAGCUUGGAAUGAAGUUGAGAUUGGUGAGUCAUUAGCAGAUUCUUUA